Molecule: long non-coding RNA, 284 nt
Organism: Musa acuminata subsp. malaccensis (wild Malaysian banana)
Lineage: Eukaryota; Viridiplantae; Streptophyta; Magnoliopsida; Zingiberales; Musaceae
Source: RefSeq, a predicted model, not a curated record
GAGAUGGCUUAGACCUGGAGAAGGAAACGGAGGCGGAGGAGAGGGCGGAAAUCCUCAAAGACUGCUUUCUCCUCUUCGUGAUCUCAGCCGAGCCAAGAAGGUCGAUGUGGAGGUAGCGAAACCCAUAGUUUCAUGCAUCCCCGACCUAGAUUCUCAGUACGCAGACUUAUCAUCUACCGGACCUUUUUCUCCAGGGUGCUGGAAGACUUUUGACCUUGCUAAGAUGUUGAGUUGUUUACACAACAUGCUGGCCGAAAAUCUAUGAACAUGGAAGAUGUCAUACA